This 255-nucleotide ribosomal RNA is filed under the name uncultured bacterium. RNAcentral describes it as "partial 16S ribosomal RNA". It matches the Rfam family "Bacterial small subunit ribosomal RNA", at positions 524 to 776 of the family's 1533-position model. The record is from RNAcentral.
UACGGAGGGUGCAAGCGUUAUCCGGAUUCACUGGGUUUAAAGGGUGCGUAGGUGGAGUGGUAAGUCAGUGGUGAAAUCUCCAAGCUUAACUUGGAAACUGCCGUUGAUACUAUCAUUCUUGAAUAUCGUGGAGGUAAGCGGAAUAUGUCAUGUAGCGGUGAAAUGCUUAGAUAUGACAUAGAACACCGAUUGCGAAGGCAGCUUGCUACACGAUCAUUGACACUGAGGCACGAAAAGCGUGGGGGAUCAAACAGG